RNAcentral lists this long non-coding RNA (1238 nucleotides) under Phasianus colchicus (ring-necked pheasant). RNAcentral describes it as "lncRNA (ENSPCLG00000021945.1)". Lineage: Eukaryota; Metazoa; Chordata; Aves; Galliformes; Phasianidae. The record is from RNAcentral.
UAGAAGUAAGAGUGUGCUGUGUGUAGAAACUGAAUGCUCAGACUUGACGAGGUAACCCUGGAAAAAGUGGGUGCAGUGUGGUUGUUGGCCUAAUUACCUUGUUCUUGUUGAAUUCAAAUCGUGCAGUUAGAAACAGGCAAUGAUUUGAGCAAACACAACAGAAACUUUCUUGAAGAAGCAAGAUGAAGCGAAAUGGAAGGGCAUGGAUCUGCUGAUUUAGUGUAAGCAGUAUUUAAAUGCAGUCUCGGUAAGUCUCACUGGAGGCUGGAUUGGGAAAGUCAGCAGAAAUGUACUUUGGUAGUGUGGUGUGAUGACUCCAAAAUUAUCAGCACACAUGAGAGAAUUCUUUAAGAGAGCAUUGCUGUGGAGAGGAGGAGGAGGAGAGAAGACAGAGGGCCUGGAAGAAAGUGGAAUCAAGUUUCUGAAAAUCAGAGCCUUUACAAAGAAGGUCCUUUAGAUACAAAUAACGUGCAAGCUUAUAAAAAGAGAGAAGUGGGUUUAGAAUUAGGAACUUGGAAUACCAGUGAGCUCCCAACAAUGAAACUUAGCAAAGGAAAAUACCUAUUGCUGUAGGAGCUCCAGUUGUGCCUUGAUAGUACAAUGGAGAAAGGCAGAAGCAAAAAGACGAAUCUAUUCUUCUUUCCAUUCAGGAAAGGACUCGCCUUCUCUUCUGACAACUGCCAGCUAGGUUUGUGCAAUGCAGCCCUUCAUGAGACCUGGAAGGAUGCUUGGUGGUAAACUGUCUUCAAGAAAGAACAGUUAAUUACAAAAAGCUUUAGAAUUUCUGCCUCCUUAAACAGCCUUUCAGAUAAAAGGGACAGACCAGUCUUUCUUACAUGAAUUUAAGUAAGAGUGUGAUCGCUGAAUAGAUCUGCAGGAUGGCAACAAGGACGGAGAUUUAUAUAAGAGCCUUAAGAACAGAGGUUUAUAAUUAAUUAGUCAGUGGUGAAGCGUUGGGAAGGAGAAGUAAAGGAGAGACCCACAGUGCUGCUUGCAGGUUAGUCUGAAGUGAAAGCUCUUGGGGUGUGGGCCAGGCUGACAGAGUUCUGCUAAAAGGAAAGAAAAAGCAUUAACCUGUGUUCAUGCCUGGAUUUAAUUCCACAAGACACUGCAGGACCUAAAGCAAACCAAUGGGGACCUAAGGUACAUCAAGUAACAUUUAACCAGUUGUAUGUUCUUUUUAUGACUUCUGUUUGUGAGGGAGAUAAAUGCAUGUCUGAGGCAAUAAAACAUUUCCC